GUUAACACUCUCUAGGCUAUCCUAGUUGAGUUAGAAAUUGAGGGGCAUACAACCCAAAUGGGGAAGGAGAUUGCAACAUCCAAAUAAAGGAGGCUAUGGAAAUUUUUUUGAUAUUUGGAUCAUGAUGGAUUCAUGCUUUCUUGUAUAAUCAAGGACAUUUCAAGAAAAUAGGCUUUAAGAGGGAGAGACUCCCAUGGCUCAAAAACUCUCAUGUUAAGGGGCUCUCAAACUCUCAUCCAUCAUUCUAUCUUCUUUCCUCCUUACAGGACCAUAGGUCCUUGAGCACUCGAGCCGAGGUGAGACUCAAGGUCGAGUCGAGGUGAGACUCAAGGUCGAGCUGAGGUGAAACUCAAGACCAAGCCAAGGCAAGGGUCAUAUCGAGCUGAGGUGAAUGUCAAGGCUGAGCCAAGGUGAAGGGUCAUAUUGAGCCGAGGUGAGGCUCAAGGCCGAGUUGAGGUGAAUCUAA
This 466-nucleotide long non-coding RNA is filed under the name Elaeis guineensis (African oil palm). RNAcentral describes it as "long non-coding RNA (EGUI_LNC045276)". The record is from RNAcentral. Lineage: Eukaryota; Viridiplantae; Streptophyta; Magnoliopsida; Arecales; Arecaceae.